GACGGAAGGGCUAUUAGCAUUUGGAUCAUCUCUUUUGAAAGAUUCCUCUUCUCUGUGUUCAUUAUCUUCUGCUCCUAAUUGAGAUAACGCUUGUAAAGCAAGCUCAUAGAGUGGUGGAUGUAGCUGAGCUACUGCACUUGUUUCUUUACUUGGAGUUAAUUAGAUUUCUUUUAUUUUGGGAGUCAUGUUAUCUUAAAUUAACAGGAACAUAACAUAGAU
Molecule: long non-coding RNA, 219 nt
Filed under: Capsicum annuum
Lineage: Eukaryota; Viridiplantae; Streptophyta; Magnoliopsida; Solanales; Solanaceae
Description: long non-coding RNA (CANN_LNC006329)
Source: RNAcentral